ACGUAGGGACCAAGCGUUGUUCGGAUUUACUGGGCGUAAAGGGCGCGUAGGCGGCAAUUCAAGUCAGCUGUGAAAUCUCCGGGCUUAACUCAGAACGGCCAAGUGAUACUGCAGUGCUAGAGUGUGGAAGGGGCAAUCGGAAUUCUUGGUGUAGCGGUGAAAUGCGUAGAUAUCAAGAGGAACACCUGAGGUGAAGACGGGUUGCUGGGCCAACACUGACGCUGAGGCGCGAAAGCCAGGGGAGCAAACGGGA
RNAcentral lists this ribosomal RNA (253 nucleotides) under uncultured prokaryote. Its description in RNAcentral is "partial 16S ribosomal RNA". It matches the Rfam family "Bacterial small subunit ribosomal RNA", at positions 525 to 777 of the family's 1533-position model. The record is from RNAcentral.